RNAcentral lists this non-coding RNA (1258 nucleotides) under Pan troglodytes (chimpanzee). The record is from RNAcentral. Lineage: Eukaryota; Metazoa; Chordata; Mammalia; Primates; Hominidae.
GAUGAGGCUACCAGGAGAGAACAGAGAAGAAAAGACGCUCUGAAAAAGGAAAAGAUGAGAGUUCUUAUGGAAAAAUGUGCCUUGGGAAAAAUUACAAUACUACAGCAAGGAGCACACAGGCCGCAUCUGUCCUGGGGCUCAUUUGUCCUUCUUCAACCUCCUCCACAGUUAGAGGCUCCUGAACUACAAUGGCAAUGAUCGAAGAAACUGUUGUUGAAAAGUCCACGCCAAAUUCUCGGUAUGUCACUGAAGACAAGGACAUUUUGGGUAGAACCUGGCUGCUAAUCCACUCUUGUCAGGAGGGAAGAUUUUUUCUCUUUCUGUAGUGAGCAACAAGGCCACUCGAUGAAGAAACUGAGGUUCAUGGAAGUUAAAUAACUUGCCCACAGGGCACAACUAGUAGGCAGCUAAGCUAGGACUUCAACUGAGGUCUGUAAGACUUAAAGCACAUGCUAUUCCUGCUCCUCAAUAGCUUUCCUGCUAAGCACCAAGAGACGCUAGGCUGCCAGGAACAUCACAGCAGAGACCACCGUCAAUCAAUGCAUCUCCACCGUCUUUUAGACUUUCUUUUGAAGAAAGAUUUAGCUGCUAAAAGAAAAGAUGAAUAUACAAAAAGGAUAAUACUACCAUAUUUCAUCAUAUUGUCUCGUUUUAAUACAAGAAGACUCAUCCAGCUUAAACAUUUGAUGUUUAAGAAGCUAACCAGCAAGCUGCCCUCUGGGAAUGCAUACCAUCAGGUAUGGAUCAGUGGCCCUGAGAUCAUGUUCAUAACUCAGCAGCUUUGUACAAGCUGUCAAGACUCAGAACAUGGUACCCCAAAGUAUGGCACCUUGGUGUGCUGAGUACUGUGGACUGAAGGACAUCGGAAAUGUCUCAGAAGCUAUGUCUCUUUGACCUUCUCCCAACCUCCUGUCUCCUACCUGUCUUUCUCCCAUGAAGUGAGUCAUGGCAAUCAUAAUUCCUCUUUCCCAAGGUGUGUCACAGAAACUAGAACCCCUCUCCUCCAAGGGAAGCCGUGAAACCUAGAAAGGUCACUCUCUGCCUUCCCCCUUCUCCCUUGAAGACCCUCAUUCCAGAGGGGCCCUGCCCCAUAUUCAGGAGGGUUACACAAAGAGGUUAAGAAGAAUUUGAACAUUCAGGCCUUGCUGGGUUCCCUGCUCAGUCUAUCAGCAUUAGAUCACAUCCUUUAGUCCAUCACAUUUCUACACCGCUGUCCAUUCUUCAUCAAACCGAAGAAUAAAAAAAGUUUUCCCUGGGU